CCUANGGGUGGCUGCAGUAACGAAUAUUGGGCAAUGGGCGCAAGCCUGACCCAGCGACGCCGCGUGGAGGAUGAAGUUCUUCGGAAUGUAAACUCCUGUCAGGGGUUAGAAAGUUCUGAUCAACCCCAGAGGAAGUGGCGGCUAACUCUGUGCCAGCAGCCGCGGUAAGACAGAGGCCACAAGCGUUAGGCGGAAUCACUGGGCUUAAAGCGUGUGUAGGCGGAUCGUUAAGUGCCUUGUGAAAUCCCACGGCUCACCCGUGGAACGGCUGGGCAUACUGGCGAUCUUGAGCCAUCUAGGGGCGACUGGAACAAACGGUGGAGCGGUGAAAUGCGUAGAUAUCGUUUGGAACGCCAACGGUGAAAACAGGUCGCUGGGGAUGUGCUGACGCUGAGACACGAAAGCCAGGGGAGCAAACGGGAUUAGAUACCCCUNUANUC
RNAcentral lists this ribosomal RNA (440 nucleotides) under uncultured bacterium. RNAcentral describes it as "bacterial SSU rRNA". It matches the Rfam family "Bacterial small subunit ribosomal RNA", at positions 338 to 795 of the family's 1533-position model. The record is from RNAcentral.